ACCGGCGUAGUAUAAGGGUAGUACAGCGGUCUCCAAAACCGUUAGUGUGGGUUCGAAUCCUGCCGCCGGUG
Molecule: transfer RNA, 71 nt
Filed under: Rhodothermia bacterium
Lineage: Bacteria; Pseudomonadati; Rhodothermota; Rhodothermia
Also listed under: 1 other name
Description: tRNA-Trp
Rfam family: tRNA
About the family: Transfer RNA (tRNA) molecules are approximately 80 nucleotides in length. Their secondary structure includes four short double-helical elements and three loops (D, anti-codon, and T loops). Further hydrogen bonds mediate the characteristic L-shaped molecular structure. tRNAs have two regions of fundamental functional importance: the anti-codon, which is responsible for specific mRNA codon recognition, and the 3' end, to which the tRNAs corresponding amino acid is attached (by aminoacyl-tRNA synthetases). tRNAs cope with the degeneracy of the genetic code in two manners: having more than one tRNA (with a specific anti-codon) for a particular amino acid; and 'wobble' base-pairing, i.e. permitting non-standard base-pairing at the 3rd anti-codon position.
Source: RNAcentral